RNAcentral lists this ribosomal RNA (440 nucleotides) under uncultured Exiguobacterium sp. Its description in RNAcentral is "bacterial SSU rRNA". It matches the Rfam family "Bacterial small subunit ribosomal RNA", at positions 358 to 789 of the family's 1533-position model. The record is from RNAcentral. Lineage: Bacteria; Bacillati; Bacillota; Bacilli; Caryophanales.
GGAAUCUUCCACAAUGGACGAAAGUCUGAUGGAGCAACGCCGCGUGAGUGAUGAAGGUUUUCGGAUCGUAAAACUCUGUUGUAAGGGAAGAACAGGUAUGAGAGGUAAUGCUCAUGCUAUGACGGUACCUUACGAGAAAGCCACGGCUAACUACGUGCCAGCAGCCGCGGUAAUACGUAGGUGGCAAGCGUUGUCCGGAAUUAUUGGGCGUAAAGCGCGCGCAGGCGGCCUUUUAAGUCUGAUGUGAAAGCCCCCGGCUCAACCGGGGAGGGUCAUUGGAAACUGGAAGGCUUGAGUACAGAAGAGAAGAGUGGAAUUCCAUGUGUAGCGGUGAAAUGCGUAGAGAUGUGGAGGAACACCAGUGGCGAAGGCGACUCUUUGGUCUGUAACUGACGCUGAGGCGCGAAAGCGUGGGGAGCAAACAGGAUUAGAUACCCCUG